AACCUAGCACACCUGCGGUGUGUACCUGCGGAAGGAUCAUUACCGAGUUUACAAACUCCCAACCCUAUGUGAACCUUACCAAUCGUUGCUUCGGCGGGCUUAGCCCCCGCGCCCUCGCCGGCGCCGGGAGAAAGGCGCCCGCCGGGGACCCCAAACCCAAUGUUUUUCAUGCAGUAUUUCUGAGUGGCAAACGCAAAAAUAAAUCAAAACUUUUAACAAUGGAUCUCAGAUCGGAAGAGC
This 240-nucleotide unclassified non-coding RNA is filed under the name soil metagenome. RNAcentral's name for it is "partial contains 5.8S ribosomal RNA, internal transcribed spacer 2, and large subunit ribosomal RNA". The record is from RNAcentral.